AAGUGCUGUUUCAUUAAAUUCUGCUCCUAACAUUUGUCCACUAAUCUUUCUCUGACAUAUUAUACUCGUGUUUGUUCAUGCCGGAGACAAAGCAGAUCAGCUGUACCUCUGGUCCUCUUUGUCUUCUUGUCUUUGAAGACGACUUGUCCAUAACUGACGUCUUCAGCUGGUCUCACUGCAGAGUAAACCACAGCUGGAUCAUUCUCUGCAACAGAAGGAGACUAUGAACACACAUUAUCUGUCAUGCAGGGUUAUAAUACGAUUAAUUAUGGAGUUCAUAAAUGUCAGCAACAGUUUCUUUUAUUCUUAACACCUUCGCUGUGAAAAUCAAUAGUUCAAAACUAAACUGGACGACCACAAACACACGGUUGAAGUUGUUGAGCUGCAGUCAGUGGAGAGGAAACCACAGCAGGGUGAGUCAGUCAGAGAGGAAGGAGGAGGGUCUGACUGAUGUGACCAUGAAGUGAUGAAGUGUAGAUGUCAUAUGAGUCGCUGUUAGGAUGGAGGAAACACGUCUGCUGCGUCUGCUCUGUAAGUACACUCACACAUCAGCUGGAAGAAGAAACACACACUUUGUUUUGUGGAACAUGAACAGACGUUAGUGUCCAUGUUACUCUGACAGGACGUCACUUUUCACACUGUUGCUUUAAAAACAACAUGAGCUGAUGACGUUUCUUUGAUACGACUGUCCUCCUCUGUGUUUCCUCUCAAACCAACCGGAGUGUCUUUUGUCUUUAGUUGUGACGUCACUGCUGAGCGGCUGCACACACCAAGCCUCUCUGAAGAUCAGUCCUCACAGAUCUCAGCUGUUUGAAGGAGAGUCUGUCUCUCUGAGGUGUGAGGAGGACGACAGCUCUGAUGGAUGGACGGUGACGAGGAACACGACUGAAGGAACCAAGACUCAGUGUGGAGCUGACUGGGGAAGGAAAGAUGGUUCUUCCUGUAACAUCAGCUACAUGAGGACAGUGGACAGUGGAGUUUACUGGUGUGAGUCCACAGGCGGAGCAGCCAGUAGCAGCAUCAACAUCAUUGUCACUGGUAAGAUGAGGCUGUUGUAACUCCAGCAGGUCUGAACACUGAGUCUGUCUUUCACCUUUUCACUUUGGCUGAGCCUGAGAGAGACAAAGACAAGAAGACAGACAGGUGACCUUCAGGAGGCAACAACACUGGGUGGAGCACUGAGUCUGCCUCCUCAACAUGUU
This 1202-nucleotide long non-coding RNA is filed under the name Sparus aurata (gilthead seabream). RNAcentral describes it as "lncRNA (ENSSAUG00010004286.1)". The record is from RNAcentral. Lineage: Eukaryota; Metazoa; Chordata; Actinopteri; Spariformes; Sparidae.